This 497-nucleotide ribosomal RNA is filed under the name uncultured bacterium. RNAcentral's name for it is "partial 16S ribosomal RNA". It matches the Rfam family "Bacterial small subunit ribosomal RNA", at positions 28 to 507 of the family's 1533-position model. The record is from RNAcentral.
GACGAACGCUGGCGGCGUGCCUAAUACAUGCAAGUUGAGCGCUGAAGGUUGGUACUUGUACCAACUGGAUGAGCAGCGAACGGGUGAGUAACGCGUGGGGAAUCUGCCUUUGAGCGGGGGACAACAUUUGGAAACGAAUGCUAAUACCGCAUAAAAACUUUAAACACAAGUUUUAAGUUUGAAAGAUGCAAUUGCAUCACUCAAAGAUGAUCCCGCGUUGUAUUAGCUAGUUGGUGAGGUAAAGGCUCACCAAGGCGAUGAUACAUAGCCGACCUGAGAGGGUGAGCGGCCACAUUGGGACUGAGACACGGCCCAAACUCCUACGGGAGGCAGCAGUAGGGAAUCUUCGGCAAUGGACGAAAGUCUGACCGAGAAACGCCGCGUGAGUGAAGAAGGUUUUCGGAUCGUAAAACUCUGUUGGUAGAGAAGAACGUUGGUGAGAGUGGAAAGCUCAUCAAGUGACGGUAACUACCCAGAAAGGGACGGCUAACUACGUG